This 163-nucleotide ribosomal RNA is filed under the name uncultured bacterium. RNAcentral describes it as "partial 16S ribosomal RNA". It matches the Rfam family "Bacterial small subunit ribosomal RNA", at positions 1339 to 1500 of the family's 1533-position model. The record is from RNAcentral.
UAAUGGCAGGUCAGCAUACUGCCGUGAAUACGUUCCCGGGCCCUUGUACACACCGCCCGUCACACCAUGAGAGUUGGAAAUACCCGAAGCCUGUGAGCUAACAGUAAUGAGGCAGCAGUCGAAGGUAGAGCCAAUGAUUGGGGUGAAGUCGUAACAAGGUACC